UGGGGAAUAUUGCACAAUGGGCGCAAGCCUGAUGCAGCCAUGCCGCGUGUAUGAAGAAGGCCUUCGGGUUGUAAAGUACUUUCAGCGGGGAGGAAGGUGUUGAGGCUAAUAACCUCAGCAAUUGACGUUACCCGCAGAAGAAGCACCGGCUAACUCCGUGCCAGCAGCCGCGGUAAUACGGAGGGUGCAAGCGUUAAUCGGAAUUACUGGGCGUAAAGCGCACGCAGGCGGUCUGUCAAGUCGGAUGUGAAAUCCCCGGGCUCAACCUGGGAACUGCAUCCGAAACUGGCAGGCUAGAGUCUUGUAGAGGGGGGUAGAAUUCCAGGUGUAGCGGUGAAAUGCGUAGAGAUCUGGAGGAAUACCGGUGGCGAAGGCGGCCCCCUGGACAAAGACUGACGCUCAGGUGCGAAAGCGUGGGGAGCAAACA
RNAcentral lists this ribosomal RNA (427 nucleotides) under uncultured bacterium. Its description in RNAcentral is "partial 16S ribosomal RNA". It matches the Rfam family "Bacterial small subunit ribosomal RNA", at positions 355 to 774 of the family's 1533-position model. The record is from RNAcentral.